Long non-coding RNA from Xyrauchen texanus (razorback sucker), 320 nucleotides. RefSeq lists it as uncharacterized. The transcript has 4 exons. NCBI's taxonomy places the organism in Eukaryota, Metazoa, Chordata, Actinopteri, Cypriniformes, Catostomidae. The record is from RefSeq and is a predicted model, not a curated record.
CCCGCCCACAUUCUCGUGCGCCUCCAUAAUCGAGAAUCAGAAAAGAAAUAAAGAAGAUUCAAGUUGUAAGUCAACUAUUGUUGAGAAUGCCUCAUACAAAACAGAUUCAAUGAUAUUUCAAAAAAAAUAAAUAAUGUGGCACUUGAGAAACAACGCAGGCAGUAGUGGCCACAUCUCAGCCGGAACUCGCCGGUCCCUCUUGGAGAGGAGGUAGCACUGGAUGGUGAGCAGACGGUCUUUGGCUGGUCCAAACUCUGGCUGGAGUUUUAGAGUUGACUCGUACCACUGCAUGGCUCUCUCAAACUCCUCCUAUGAAAAGA